AAAACAACACUUGCAUAGAUAUUAAUAUUAUACAAUAUCUGACUCUCGCCCCACAAGUCCAGGGUCGAUCGUCUAACUUACAUCCAAACUACUAAUAUGAUUACAUAUAAACAGGGUUGAAACCAAAAAGAAACAACUACAGCUCGAGUCCCUACUAUUCUUCGUUGUCUGGCAGCUUCAGCUGGAGUGAUGCGCCUUUCCCUUAUCCGAGCUCGCACCCGCUUCCGAGCGGUUAACUUGAUUCGCGCCAUACUCGCUUUUUACUGCUAGUUGAUAAAACAUAGAUGCAAGAAUGAGCACUUACAUGCUCAGCAAGCUCACAUAAUUGUAGAUAGCAUUUAACAAUUUAUGCAUUUAGGGCACUGAAUACAGUUUAAAUCAACAAAGCAUCAAAUACCAGAACAAGUUUUAAAUCAAAGAAUUUGCUGGUCUUCCAACCUCUCGAUAUCACUACAUGGUCCGAUCAAAUACCAUUUCGUGAAUAUCAUUCUCCUGUGUAGUCCCAGUGGUCUGAUCGUCACCACUAGAGACACACCAACACUCUCUUUGCUAGCAUCAGGGUUUAACACUGGAACCCUACUAUCUGCCUUACCAGAUAGUAACUUUCCUCUUCACCACGAAUUUAAUAAAUUCGUGUUGACCAGCCGAACAAGAAUUCUCCGAGUAGAAAGAACAUUCUCCGAACAAACUCUUCUGAUUUAUCAAUCAAUCACUAUUAACCAGAAGAUGUGAACAAUACAUCUUCUAUCAGAAACAAAUCCUUAACCAAUCAAUUAAUCAUUGUCAAUUAGAAGAUAUGAACAAUACAUCUUCUAUUAGAAAUAAAUCUUUAACCAUUCCUGGACAAAAGGAAGGUUGAAUUACGUAAUCAAUUUUAGGAGUUCACUUUAAUGAUUUAUAACUUAUAUUGGAGCGAAGGACAUAGUCGAGGUAUUUAAAAUAUUAUUUGAUCAAACAAUUAAGGUAACUAAACAACUUAAAUAGAGAUAAGGAUAGUGAACUUGCCUCGAGUCCUUAGCUUUGGGAAUUCCGAAAUUAUAUAAUUUUGCUUCGUCCUUUCCAGACAAUAUAUAUAUUCUAUGACACAUAAAAUAAUAAUUUAAUAACGUCAACUUUUAACAACUUAAAAGAGUUAAUUAUAUACUAUCUAUUAAUUCACGUCUAAUUAGUUUAGUCUCUUUAAUCAAUUAAUCAAUCACUUUCCUUGACCAAACUUUAUAUCUUUAAUUCCAUAGAAUAUUUUUAAAAUGGAUAGUAAUCAAUCCUCAUUUGUUAUUCUUCCUUCCCCAAUCUACUCAUCAAAAUUUCCAACUCAACCUUAAUUAUUCAUUCAUUGCUAAAUUAAUACUUAAUGACCUUCCCGUAAUAAACUCUUUAUACAUCACUUUUAUAAAGGUUUAGUUAAGAAAUGAGAGAUCCUGUCGUGCAUGUUUUGUCCAACUGCUGCAGGCUCACUUAUCAUCUAUUCAACUAAUUUCAAAAAUGAUUAUUUAAUACUAAAAUUACCUCUUCACCACGAAUUUAAUAAAUUCGUGUUGACCAGCCGAACAAGAAUUCUCCGAGUAGAAAGAACAUUCUCCGAACAAACUCUUCUGAUUUAUCAAUCAAUCACUAUUAACCAGAAGAUGUGAACAAUACAUCUUCUAUCAGAAACAAAUCCUUAACCAAUCAAUUAAUCAUUGUCAAUUAGAAGAUGUGAUCAAUACAUCUUCUAUUAGAAAUAAAUCUUUAACCAUUCCUGGACAAAAGGAAGGUUGAAUUACGUAAUCAAUUUUAGGAGUUCACUUUAAUGAUUUAUAACUUAUAUUGGAGCGAAGGACAUAGUCGAGGUAUUUAAAAUAUUAUUUGAUCAAACAAUUAAGGUAACUAAACAACUUAAAUAGAGAUAAGGAUAGUGAACUUGCCUCGAGUCCUUAGCUUUGGGAAUUCCGAAAUUAUAUAAUUUUGCUUCGUCCUUUCCAGACAAUAUAUAUAUUCUAUGACACAUAAAAUAAUAAUUUAAUAACGUCAACUUUUAACAACUUAAAAGAGUUAAUUAUAUACUAUCUAUUAAUUCACGUCUAAUUAGUUUAGUCUCUUUAAUCAAUUAAUCAAUCACUUUCCUUGACCAAACUUUAUAUCUUUAAUUCCAUAGAAUAUUUUUAAAAUGGAUAGUAAUCAAUCCUCAUUUGUUAUUCUUCCUUCCCCAAUCUACUCAUCAAAAUUUCCAACUCAACCUUAAUUAUUCAUUCAUUGCUAAAUUAAUACUUAAUGACCUUCCCGUAAUAAACUCUUUAUACAUCACUUUUAUAAAGGUUUAGUUAAGAAAUGAGAGAUCCUGUCGUGCAUGUUUUGUCCAACUGCUGCAGGCUCACUUAUCAUCUAUUCAACUAAUUUCAAAAAUGAUUAUUUAAUACUAAAAUUAACCUUACCAUUAUUAUAUUCUCAACUUCUGAUCCUUUUUCAUUUUAUUCUAACUAUCUAUCAAUGUCCCCAUCAAUUACCUUUAUGCAUCAUUUUAUUCAUGCUACUCCAUUUAUUAAUAUUCCCCUUUAUAUUUAUUUAAUAAUUCUCAUUUCCCUUAUUAUAUUAUAUAUUAGCACCAAUCCUCAUUACUAAACAUUAGUAUUAUACACAUUUUAGUUUUUAUUUUAUCAUCCCAACAUACUCUUAUUUUAUCAAUAUUAUUUUAAUUUUUAUUAUUUAGAUUUUUUUUUCACUAUGGAGGUUAUGGUUUUACCCUGCAGUACCUCUCCCCUCAUCUACUCUUUUCCCCCUGGUCACCACUGUCACCACCGUUCGCCGGAAGUCGGCUCCGGCGGUGGUCUACCGCCACAAAAUCUCUCUCUCUCUCUCUCUCUCCCAAAUUCCCGCCGCCAUCUCCUUCCUCGACCCACACCUGUCAAUCGAACCCAUCUCACUACUUCCUCCCUCCGGUCACCGGCGAAUCUCUCCUUACAACCCAAUCAAUCCACCCCUUUUUAAAAAGUCGAAGCUCCUCUCCUUCACACAUCCAAAUCAAUUAGUUACAAACUUAUUAUAAAGUUUUAGUUUAGGUCUGUAUAAUAUGUACUGUUAAUGGAUACAAAUCCCCAAGAGUAUACAUAUAAUUAAACAUAUGAUUAUAAUAAUAUUUUCCUUAUUCAAUUAGAGAAGGAAGGGAAUUACCUUGAUGUUUUUAAAAGGUACUGAACAAGCUGCUUCUUCCCUAAAUUACUCCCUUAACUAAAGCUUU
RNAcentral lists this long non-coding RNA (3214 nucleotides) under Daucus carota (carrot). RNAcentral's name for it is "long non-coding RNA (DCAR_LNC001428)". The record is from RNAcentral. Lineage: Eukaryota; Viridiplantae; Streptophyta; Magnoliopsida; Apiales; Apiaceae.